Molecule: long non-coding RNA, 1402 nt
Organism: Scophthalmus maximus (turbot)
Lineage: Eukaryota; Metazoa; Chordata; Actinopteri; Pleuronectiformes; Scophthalmidae
Exons: 2
Source: RefSeq, a predicted model, not a curated record
AUUAAAGAGGCUGUACUUGGUCUGGUGGAGAGGAGUGACACUCUGGAGUGGUGUAGGAAGUUGCAGGCUGGGGGGUUAAGUUGGCCGCACGGCUCAGAGCACCAAGAUGAAUUCAUAUCCGUAUUCACCUACCACGCCAUCACUGGACACAGUCCAGCUUUCGAGGCUUGUUUUAAGUUGCCUGCGCCUUUUUACUCGGACACAGGCAGCUAAAGCAAGUCUGGGACGCCAGAGACACACCUACAAAACCCAGCCGAGAGGAACCACCGUCGCGCCAAGAAUGGAAAAUCCAGGGGUUUUUUGAAGACCAGGAAGAAGGAACAUGGGGAAAUAUAUUGUACUUAUAAUGAAAUCUGCUUUUACCAGUUAUGCAAAAGCUUAUGCAAGCUUUUGACCCCUGGGCCAAGAGGAAGAACCUAACAAAUGACUUAUGUAGUCUGACACAAUCUGCUUUUUACAAUGUCUGAUUGUGUGAAAUGGAAAUUAUACGUAAAAACUUGCAUGCUAUAACUUCUAUGUAGUUAGAAAAAAACAACUAAAUAAGUUUAGUAAGUUUAGUUUAAUAACUUAAACUCACUCUCAUAUAGCCUACUGCUUUUGUUGUCUACACUUGUGUGUGUGUGUGUGUGUGUGUGUGUGUGUGUGUGUGUGUGUGUGUGUGUGUGUGUGUGUGUGUGUGUGUGUGUGUGUGUGUGUGUGUGUGUGUGUGUGUGUGUGUGUGUGUGUGUGUGUGUUGUUUGAGCUCAGUCAGGUGACAUUCAGAUGAUGAAUGAUUAGCAGGCCGUUCACUUUCAGUUCAGUCAAUACAGAGAGCCGGACAAGUAAAGUAUGAUUUGCAUUUAAGGGCGAGGUUAAGAUUUUUCUGUCGGGUUUAAGUAUUGUUGUUAAGGAUUAGCCACAUUUCUGGUUACAAACGAUUGAACGAUUUGAUGAUCUUACCUAGGGAAAGAUUGGAAGGUGAAUUGUGUUGAGAUUGCACAGGGCUGCCUAAAACCAUGACUUUUAUUUGAGAACUGAUCACACACACACGAUGCCGAACGACACAAGAGCACUGCAGGGACGCCCAGUAUGUAGGCAUUUAUUAUCUCUUUAGGUCAUUCAUAAAUUAUUUUAUUGGCCUUUUUUUUUAUAUAGAAUAGAUCAUAUUCAGUGGACACAUAUAGACCAGGAGUGAAGUGCGAAGUACAACAAAUGUCCUGGAAUCAAACGGUAACAUGGUGCACAUCUCAACACGCCGAUCCGCCAGGACGGACGGCCCCCCUCUUCCCUACGGACGCUCAUGAACUGAACACAUUUCCUUUAUGAGUUGCUUUAAUCCCUCUGUGGCCUCAGAGCAGUGGUGUUUGCCUUGACUGCAGUUUUUUUGUUGUUGUAUUUUUCAAAAUAAAAGGCUAUAACAUGA